CCCUUAGAUGUUCUGGGCCGCACGCGCGCUACACUGAGUGUCUGAGAUACGAGUCUGCCUGGUCCGGCAAGGUCUAGGUAAUCGCUAAAAGACACAUCAUGCUUGGGAUAGAUUAUUGCAAAUAUUAAUCUUGAACGAGGAAUUCCUAGUAAGCGCAAGUCAACAGCUUGCGUUGAUUACGUCCCUGCCCUUUGUACACACCGCCCGUCGCUACUACUGAUUGGAUGUUUAAGCGAGGUUCUCGAACUGCUAGCGACUUAGCUUCGGUGAGGUCGCAGUGUGGGAAGUGAACCUAGCUUUGGGGUCUAGAGGAAGUAAAAGUCGUAACA
This 329-nucleotide ribosomal RNA is filed under the name uncultured eukaryote. RNAcentral describes it as "partial 18S ribosomal RNA". It matches the Rfam family "Eukaryotic small subunit ribosomal RNA", at positions 1470 to 1796 of the family's 1831-position model. The record is from RNAcentral.